Humulus lupulus (European hop) is the source of this 547-nucleotide long non-coding RNA. RefSeq lists it as uncharacterized. The record is from RefSeq and is a predicted model, not a curated record. The transcript is spliced from 4 exons. Lineage: Eukaryota; Viridiplantae; Streptophyta; Magnoliopsida; Rosales; Cannabaceae.
UUCAGAGCCUCCAAGCUCCUAAGGUUACUAUAGAGAGAAACACUUGGGUGUUGGGUUAAAAGCAUUUCCAAUCUAAGCUUUUCUAAACACUUGGGAUGUAAGAUAGAAUGUUAUUUCGGUAUUGAGGUGUAGAUCAAAGUCAUAGUUCAUCCAAGGUGUUUAAGUUCUUUGAAACUUAAGGUUUUUGGAGUGUUCCAAUCUUGUUUUUGUCUCCAUAUCCCGGUUUUUGAUGGUGCAGGAAAAUGAGCAUGGAAGGCGAGAAGGAUUCGUGGCAACUUGGCAUGUGUGUUGAGGAGGAAUAGAUUUAAUGGAUUGCUGGAAGAUCAAGAAUGAUGUUGUUUUUAAGUCUUUUGAUUUAUGUUUUUAUGUAUUUCUGCACUUAGUAUUUUAACACAAUUUAUUUAAUGUUUAUGUUUAUGUUUUAUAAUAAUGGGGUCCCAUACCAUAUUUUGUAUUUGACACAAUAUUUUGGGUUUUGAACAAAGUUAUGUUAUUUCUUAAAUAUGUAUUCAAAUUAGUAGUUAUGUUUAGUAGUUUUUAAUGUUCC